This 252-nucleotide ribosomal RNA is filed under the name uncultured bacterium. RNAcentral describes it as "partial 16S ribosomal RNA". It matches the Rfam family "Bacterial small subunit ribosomal RNA", at positions 524 to 776 of the family's 1533-position model. The record is from RNAcentral.
UACGUAGGUGACAAGCGUUGUCCGGAUUUACUGGGCGUAAAGAGCGCGCAGGCGGUCGAUCAAGUCGAGUGUGAAAGCCCCGGCUCAACUGGGGAGGGUCAUUCGAAACUGGUCGACUCGAAGGCAGGAGAGGGUAGUGGAAUUCCCGGUGUAGUGGUGAAAUGCGUAGAUAUCGAGAGGAACACCUGCGGCGAAGGCGGGUUGCUGGGCUGACACUGACGCUGAGGCGCGAAAGCUAGGGGAGCGAACGGG